Unclassified non-coding RNA from Macaca mulatta (Rhesus monkey), 117 nucleotides. It matches the Rfam family "Metazoan signal recognition particle RNA". From Rfam's summary of the family: The signal recognition particle (SRP) is a universally conserved ribonucleoprotein. Lineage: Eukaryota; Metazoa; Chordata; Mammalia; Primates; Cercopithecidae. The record is from Ensembl.
GCCGGGCGUGGUGGCUCACGCCUGUAAUCCCAGCACUUUGGGAGGCCAAGGCGAGUGGAUCACCUGAGGUCAGGAGUUCGAGACCAGCCUGACCAACAUGGUGAAAACCCGUCUCUC